Lagopus muta (rock ptarmigan) is the source of this 3661-nucleotide RNA transcript. RefSeq lists it as uncharacterized. The record is from RefSeq and is a predicted model, not a curated record. Lineage: Eukaryota; Metazoa; Chordata; Aves; Galliformes; Phasianidae. The transcript is spliced from 2 exons.
CUGUGACAUUUGGGGACGGGGACAAAUGUCCCUGGGGGGCACGGCGUUGGGCAGGAGGGCGUUGAGGAGGUGACAGAGAAGAACUCCAUCCCUCAACGCCUGUGCCAGGUCCCAAACUUGUCCUGUGGGGCUGCUGGCGCGGUGACCGGCCGGGAGAACCCGUGCUGUCACCAACCAAUGAGCGCAUUGCCUCCACACCUCCAUGGGGGGACAACUGGGGGUCGUUUUUGGGGAAGAGGAAGGUGGGAAGUGGGGUCGUGGUGGGGUCACAGGUGGAAAGAGGUGAUGGGGAUGGGAUCCUGUGGGUCGCUUCUGGAAGGAGAUGAUGGAUAUGGGGUCGUGGUGGGGACACAGGUGGAAAGAGGUGAUGGGGAUGGGAUCCAGGUGGGUCGCUUCUGGAAGGAGAUGAUGGAUAUGGGGUCGUGGUGGGGUCACAGGUGGAAAGAGGUGAUGGGGAUGGGAUCCUGUGGGUGACUUCUGGAAGGAGAUGAUGGAUAUGGGGUCCUGGUGGGGUCACAGGUGGAAAGAGGUGAUGGGGAUGGGAUCCUGUGGGUCACUUUUGGGAUGGAUGAGGUGGAUACGGGGUCCUGGUGGGAUCACAGGUGGAAAGGGAUGAUGGAGGUGGGAUCCUGGUGGGUCCCUCUGGGGAGGAGCAGUGGUUGUGGGGUCCUGGUGGGGUCACUUCUGGAAGGAGAUGAUGGAUAUGGGGUCGUGGUGGGGUCACAGGUGGAAAGAGGUGAUGGGGAUGGGAUCCUGUGGGUCACUUCUGGAAGGAGAUGAUGGAUAUGGGGUCGUUGUGGGGUCACAGGUGGAAAGAGAUGAUGGGGAUGGGAUCCUGUGGGUCACUUUUGGGAUGGAUGAGGUGGAUACGGGGUCCUGGUGGGAUCACAGGUGGAAAGGGAUGAUGGAGGUGGGAUCCUGGUGGGUCCCUCUGGGGAGGAGCAGUGGUUGUGGGGUCCUGGUGGGGUCACUUCUGGAAGGAGACGAUGGAUAUGGGGUCACUGUGGGGUCACAGGUGGAAAGAGGUGAUGGGGAUGGGAUCCUGUGGGUCACUUUUGGGAUGGAUGAGGUGGAUACGGGGUCCUGGUGGGAUCACAGGUGGACAGAGAUGAUGGAGGUGGGAUCCUGUGGGUCACUGCCAGAAGAAAAGAUGGAUAUGGGGUUUUUGUGGGUCACUUCUGGAGGGAGGUGAUGGAUAUGGGGUGCUGGUGGGUCCCUCUGGGGAGGAGCAGUGGUUGUGGGGUCCUGGUGGGGUCGCUUCUGGAAGGAGACGAUGGGGAUGGGAUCCUGUGGGGUCACAGGUGGAAAGAGAUGAUGGGGAUGGGAUCCUGUGGGUCACUUUUGGGAUGGAUGAGGUGGAUACGGGGUCCUGGUGGGAUCACAGGUGGAAAGGGAUGAUGGAGGUGGGAUCCUGGUGGGUCCCUCUGGGGAGGAGCAGUGGUUGUGGGGUCCUGGUGGGGUCACUUCUGGAAGGAGACGAUGGAUAUGGGGUCACUGUGGGGUCACAGGUGGAAAGAGGUGAUGGGGAUGGGAUCCAGGUGGGUCACUUCUGGAAGGAGAUGAUGGAUAUGGGGUCGUUGUGGGGUCACAGGUGGAAAGAGGUGAUGGGGAUGGGAUCCAGGUGGGUCACUUUUGGGAUGGAUGAGGUGGAUAUGGGGUCGUUGUGGGGUCACAGGUGGAAAGAGAUGAUGGGGAUGGGAUCCUGUGGGUCACUUUUGGGAUGGAUGAGGUGGAUAUGGGGUCCUGGUGGGAUCACAGGUGGAAAGAGGUGAUGGAGGUGGGGUCCUGGUGGAUCACUUCUGGAAGGAUGAGGUGGAUACGGGGUCCUGGUGGGUCACUGCCAGAAGAAAAGAUGGAUAUGGGGUUGUUGUGGGUCACUUCUAGGAGGAGAUGAUGGAGAUGAGGUCCUGGUGGGUCCCUCUGGGGAGGAGCAGUGGUUGUGGGGUCCUGGUGGGGUCGCUUCUGGAAGGAGACGAUGAAUAUGGGGUCCUGGUGGGGUCACAGGUGGACAGAGAUGAUGGAGGUGGGAUCCUGUGGGUCACUGCCAGAAGAAAAGAUGGAUAUGGGGUUGUUGUGGGUCACUUCUGGAGGGAGGUGAUGGAUAUGGGGUGCUGGUGGGUCCCUCUGGGGAGGAGCAGUGGUUGUGGGGUCCUGGUGGGGUCGCUUCUGGAAGGAGACGAUGAAUAUGGGGUCGUUGUGGGGUCACAGGUGGAAAGAGAUGAUGGGGAUGGGAUCCUGUGGGUCACUUCUGGAAGGAUGAGGUGGAUACGGGGUCCUGGUGGGAUCACUCUGGACGGAUCUGAUGGAUGUAGGAUCGUAGUGGGAUCACUCUGGAUGGAUCCGAUGGAUGUAGGAUCGUGGUGGGAUCACUCCGGAUGGAUCCGAUGGAUGUAGGAUCGUGGUGGGAUCACUCUGGACGGAUCUGAUGGAUGUAGGAUUGUGGUGGGAUCACUCUGGAUGGAUCCAAUGGAUGUAGGAUUGAGGUGGGAUCACUCUGGAUGGAUCCGAUGGAUGUAGGAUCGUGGUGGGAUCACUCUGGAUGGAUCCAAUGGAUGUAGGAUCCUGUUGGGAUCACUCUGGAUAGAGCUGGUGGAGAUUAUGGGGUCGUGGUGGGAUCACUCUGGACGGAUCCGAUGGAUGUAGGAUCGUGGUGGGAUCACUCUGGAUGGAUCCGAUGGAUGUAGGAUCGAGGUGGGAUCACUCUGGAUGGAUCCGAUGGAUGUAGGAUCGUGGUGGGAUCACUCUGGAUGGAUCUGAUGGAUGUAGGAUCGAGGUGGGAUCACUCUGGAUGGAUCCGAUGGAUGUAGGAUUGUGGUGGGAUCACUCUGGACGGAUCUGAUGGAUGUAGGGUCGUGGUGGGAUCACUCUGGACGGAUCCAAUGGAUGUAGGAUUGAGGUGGGAUCACUCUGGACGGAUCUGAUGGAUGUAGGAUCCUGUUGGGAUCACUCUGGAUGGAUCUGAUGGAUGUAGGAUCCUGUUGGGAUCACUCUGGAUAGAGCUGGUGGAGAUGAUGGGGUCCUGGUGGGAUCACUCUGGACGGAUCCGAUGGAUGUAGGAUCGUGGUGGGAUCACUCCAGACGGAUCCAAUGGAUGUAGAAUCGAGGUGGGAUCACUCUGGACGGAUCCAAUGGAUGCAGAAUCGAGGUGGGAUCACUCUGGAUGGAUCUGAUGGGUGUAGGAUUGUGGUGGGAUCACUCCGGAUGGAUCCGAUGGAUGUGGGAUCGAGGUGGGAUCACUCUGGAUAGAGCUGGUGGAGAUGAUGGGGUCGUGGUGGGAUCACUCUGGACGAAGCCGAUGGAUGUAGGAUUGCGGUGGGAUCACUCUGGAUGGAUCCAAUGGAUGUAGGAUCGAGGUGGAAUCACUCCGGAUGGAUCCAAUGGAUGUGGGAUCGAGGUGGGAUCACUCUGGAUGGAUCCGAUGGAUGUAGGAUCGAGGUGGGAUCACUCUGGACGGAUCCGAUGGAUGUAGGAUCGAGGUGGGAUCACUCCAGACGGAUCCGAUGGAUGUGGGAUCGAGGUGGGAUCCCUUCUGACCCUCCCUCCCCACGGGACAAUGGCGCUGAGUCCCCGCGGCCGUGGGAAGGACCAACCACCACCUUCCUCUUCCCACCACCGCCACCGGAUCCGGACAGGGGCCGACCGCGAUGCGUCCCUCCCCGCC